GGAACAUACACGCUUGUUUUUCCUCUUCCUCUCUCUGCAACCUUUGCUCUACACGUCUAGCGAGUAAAACCAUGCAUCCCAACGUGGCCAAGAUGCAGCCCGAGACGAGCUACAGCUGCUUGAAACGCUGCUUCAUUGCCAUCUUCUCGUUUUGCGCAAUCUACACGACGGGCAUGAUUCAGGAAUGCAUCAGGGCGGAGAGGACGAACAACCUGUUCCUCUAUCCAUCCUUGCUGUUGAUCGCUGCCUUCUUCUCCAUGUGGGGGUACACGGCGCAGUACAAGAUCCCGCAGGACCCGCUGUGGUAUCGUCACCACGAGACAUACAUGCUAGUUGCAUCCAUUUUUAUCUGCUUUGGGUUUUGCAUGCUGAUCGUGGCCAUCUACCCCAUCUACCGCAUGUGGAGCUGCGCGAUCGUCCUCCUCUGGGUGGUGAUGAUCGGCAACGUGAAUGGCGCCGUCACCUACAUCAUGAGCCACCUGAGCAAAAAGAAGUCCACGUAGACCGUCUCGAGGAGUCAAAAGGAAAUUAAAAAAAAAGGCUGCAGCAGAGGAAUCUCUCUUGCUGUUGUCCCUCCUCCGCUGUGCCGGUACCUUAGCAUCACUCCAACGUGAUCACAUGCCACGGGAUGGAGGAAAGUCGGUGGAAGGGGGAAAUGGGUAUGUGUCCGUGUGCCACACAUGUGGGCGCUCCUCAUCGAACGGUAGCACCUGCAACGCUGGUGUCCUGUGCCUCUGCGUGCGCAGAGGUUUUCUGCGUUCUUCUGUGGACUUGCCUCGUCCGCCUGCCUCGCUUUCGCUUCGCAUUGCUCAUUCUUCUUCUUUUCUCGUGUUUGUUCUGGGGCCGGCCGCGGCGGAGCUGCUUGCUCGUGUUGAGACGUGCAACCGUUGUUGGGCCCCCCUUGUGAAGGGUUGUUGUUGCUGAUGUUGCUCGAGGCUCUAACUUUUGGAGUGGUGCGCCCCCUCCCCAACGUGUACAGCCCUCCCUCCGUUCUUUUCCACUGUCACCUCCGCGUCACCAUCAGAACGGGCUAGCGAUGCGGAGAGUGAUAGUCGUCC
Molecule: unclassified non-coding RNA, 1058 nt
Filed under: Leishmania donovani
Lineage: Eukaryota; Euglenozoa; Kinetoplastea; Trypanosomatida; Trypanosomatidae
Description: gene:LdHU3.36.9100(CDS-product:hypothetical_prote in_conserved)
Source: RNAcentral